CCAACAAUGGCCUGGCCUACCGUCCACUCAGGACCUCCUUCCCUGAGUCACCGCUCACCUCACCACCCAUCACGCAGACAGACUUGAUGUUCGGACAAGAGAUGGGGCUUGCCUAUGGCUCUCUCAGCUGGAAGCUUAACCAACACCUGCAGCUCCAGGUUAUCCUGGACUUAAAAGUUCUCCCCUUCAGUCUCCUGGGGACUCUUUGGGCAACUUAGAAACCUCACCUGCCUCACAAAUGUUGGUACAUCCCCAGUGGACACUGAUCAGCACUGUCCUUGGAA
This 284-nucleotide long non-coding RNA is filed under the name Cricetulus griseus (Chinese hamster). Its description in RNAcentral is "lncRNA (ENSCGRG00015042992.1)". The record is from RNAcentral. Lineage: Eukaryota; Metazoa; Chordata; Mammalia; Rodentia; Cricetidae.